RNAcentral lists this ribosomal RNA (471 nucleotides) under uncultured bacterium. Its description in RNAcentral is "bacterial SSU rRNA". It matches the Rfam family "Bacterial small subunit ribosomal RNA", at positions 30 to 517 of the family's 1533-position model. The record is from RNAcentral.
AUUGAACGCUGGCGGCAUGCCUUACACAUGCAAGUCGAACGGCAGCGGGCCUUCGGGUGCCGGCGAGUGGCGAACGGGUGAGUAAUGCAUCGGAACGUGCCAUUGAGUGGGGGAUAACGUAGCGAAAGUUACGCUAAUACCGCAUAUUCUGUGAGCAGGAAAGCAGGGGACCGCAAGGCCUUGCGCUCUUUGAGCGGCCGAUGUCAGAUUAGCUAGUUGGUGAGGUAAAGGCUUACCAAGGCGACGAUCUGUAGCGGGUCUGAGAGGAUGAUCCGCCACACUGGAACUGAGACACGGUCCAGACUCCUACGGGAGGCAGCAGUGGGGAAUUUUGGACAAUGGGCGCAAGCCUGAUCCAGCCAUGCCGCGUGAGUGAAGAAGGCCUUCGGGUUGUAAACCUACUUUCUUGGAGAAGAGACAAGGACGGUAUCCCAGGAAUAAGUACUCGGCGUAACUACGUGCCAGCAGCCG